GAGAGAGACAUGCGCGCAUAUCAAUAAGCGGAGGAAAAGAAACUAACAAGGAUUCCCUUAGUAACGGCGAGUGAAGCGGGAAGAGCUCAAAUUUGAAAUCUUCAAGGUUCUACCUUGACGAAUUGUAGUUUAAAGAAGUGUUUUCUGCUGAAGUUUUGGUAAAAGUUCUUUGAAUAGGACAUCAUAGAGGGUGAGAAUCCCGUAUUUGACCAUUAUUUUCAGCUUUGUGAUACACUUUCAAAGAGUCGGAUUGUUUGGGAAUGCAGUCCAAAAUGGGUGGUAAAUUUCAUCUAAAGCUAAAUAUUGGCGAGAGACCGAUAGCGAACAAGUACCGUGAGGGAAAGAUGAAAAGAACUUUGAAAAGAGAGUUAAACAGUACGUGAAAUUGUCAAAAGGGAAGCGUUUGACACCAGUGUUGUUUUCUCGAAAAUCAAUUAAAAAUGGCUAGAUUUUGUAUUGUAUUGACCUUUAUCAAGCUUCACUGCUACAUCUUUUCGUGUCUUUUUUAAUGCACUUUUCGUUUAACAAGUCAACAUCAGUUUCUUUUGUUGUAAAAGGGUCAUUGGAAGGUGGCUUUCUUUUCGGAGAAAGUGUUUAUAGCCUUUGGCCUCUGCAAUCGGAGAGACUGAGGUCUGCAGCGUAGACUCUUCGGGGUUAGAUACAUUUGUGCUAAGUUAUAGCUUUUUAUAGACAACUUGUUGACUAUAAUUAGUCUUGUAGCUUACUCGCUUAUGCUAUUUUACCUACGCUUAGGAUGUUGAGUCGUAGAGCACGCAG
RNAcentral lists this ribosomal RNA (777 nucleotides) under uncultured Neocallimastigales. Its description in RNAcentral is "partial large subunit ribosomal RNA". It matches the Rfam family "Eukaryotic large subunit ribosomal RNA", at positions 23 to 628 of the family's 3401-position model. Lineage: Eukaryota; Fungi; Neocallimastigomycota; Neocallimastigomycetes; Neocallimastigales. The record is from RNAcentral.